Molecule: long non-coding RNA, 1305 nt
Filed under: Phasianus colchicus (ring-necked pheasant)
Lineage: Eukaryota; Metazoa; Chordata; Aves; Galliformes; Phasianidae
Description: lncRNA (ENSPCLG00000003289.1)
Source: RNAcentral
AAAAGAGGGCACACUCUCUAUGUGAAAGAUAGUUUUGUGGGAGGCUUUUGUGAAAGAAAGAAGCUUCUAGAACAGAUAUGCAAGCAACUAUUUAGAAUUUGAUUUAAUUUUCUUUGACCAGGUAAAAGCUUGAUAAACGCAUUGAGAUUAUAAUUCUUUUUUUCUUUCACAACAGUGGAGAAAAUAUUUAUCACAUAAUCCUCGUUGUUGAAGCAAAAUGUGUCUAAAGGAAAUUGCAAAUAAAAAUGCAGCCUGAAUUCAGUGCAGCACCAUUUGUUUCACCAGACAGAUGCCAAAAAAUACAAAAGAGCAACUUUGGGAAUGUGCAGGGCAGUCCAAGAAAAGAACGGAGGAAACAAUCUUGUUGCAUUUAAUUCUGACAGCUUCUGAACUAGAACUUGGCACAACAAUGGAGACGGCAAAGCAUACACUGCUUCUUGGCCAGCCAGAAAGAGCACUGAAGAAGCCAGCAUGGUUUUGCCUUUUCCUUGCAUUUCUGCCCAUGUAUUGAAUGCAUGCUAUUAUACUUGUAAAGGUGUCAGCAGCAAUGUGUACAGCUCUGGAAAGACAGUUGUGUACCAGAAAAUUGCCAUGUAGUCAACCUAUUGCUUUUGCUUUGUAUAAAAGGCACGUUGUUUGCUAAUUACACAUCACAGUACAUAGAACAGAGGGAAGUCAGGCCGGCAAUGAGCACACUAAGCCAUAUCAUCCCCUGUCGUGCAAAAAGGAAGAGAGUGAAAACAUGCAACAAAAAUCUCUUCUCAAAUGGAGCCAUGCAGAAAGCACCAGAUAUCCCCAUCACACUUGGAUGAGUUUGUUCUAUAAACAGCAAUCAAUUGGUGCUGCAGUAAGUGAGGAAGCUUCAUUAGUAAAAGGGCAGAAUUCAUCUCUGUGCAAUGAACGCAUCUGAACUUGCACCUUCCAGACACCAAACAUACAAUCGACAACACUUGACCACAUUUUGUGUCAAGAAAAACUCUGUUCACCAGAGACUUGUAUAAACACGUACAACUCAGGAAGCUCAAAGAGGCAAACAUUGGCUCAGAGCUGUAGAGUACCCAGUGAACUCAGUGUGACCACUCGGUCAUAAUAUAGCAAAUGAGUAUAGAAUAAUAAUUUUCUUUAUGCUAAGCAAAGGAGGUGGCAGGCAGAAAUUACUCAACCAUACUCAAGAAGUACAUAGCUGAAAAAAAAGUCACAUUAGUGGUUAUGUGAGUAAUGAGAUGCAGGUAAGCACUGUGGGUGGUUGGCAUAAGUGUUGACUUUAACAGCCUUCAAUAAGCAUGGAAGUCUUCCACUACUAAA